AUGUUCCAAAUUAUUUUUACUUCCUGAAAGGAACAUUGACAAAAAAUGACUUACCAUUAUAUGAUUUGGGUUAAUUCUAGGUAGAGCAGCUAAACACAACUCCUUACAGGUGAGCUGAGAAGAACAAAUUCCAGCAAAUAAUAUUUUCAAAUAACCCCAGAAUUUCUAGCUCAGAUCCUCCUUAACUCACAGAAACUCAAAAUUUGCCAGAUAUGGUGUGUGUUUUCUGCUCUGAUGCAACUGCUCUUUCCUGCAUAUUCAAAUUUAGAAGACUAACAUGUUAUGUCUGAAAUUUUAAUCUAGAUACAUAACAAAGUAUGACGUGAGUAUGAAUGCAGAAGAACCUGCAGUUCAGAAUGCCAUUGGAGCCAGAUUUUAAGAGUAUUUUUGUUCUCUCUUAGUUUCAGGUUCUUAAAUAUUUUUAACUCUGUGGCUCUGAGUGAGACUCUUUAUAUGCAAAUGACAGGCAUAUUAAUUCAACAGCUCACUUGGAAGAUUUAAAGAAAGGAAGAGAAGACCUGCCUACUGGAACACUGAACCCUGGGUACAGCUGUUCAAGAAAUACAGCAAAGGACAGGUUUGAACACAAGAGAACAUAAUAUGCUCUGUUGUCAAGCAAAAUAAUCCUGCCUCUUCCAGCAGAAUGAGAAGGAUUCCAGCUAAAUGCAUUGCCCUCCACCUUCCAGCAAACAUUCAGAGUUCUCUUCCAUUAAUGAGAGAUUUAUUUCAGCUGAAGAACAUAUCCACAGGGGAGCAACUGGUCCAGCUCAUUUUCAUGCUGAUAUAUUUUCUUCUCUGGGAACUGCAGAGCCACAGCAUCACUGCUGCAGCACACAGCUUAGAAGCCACUAAAAGGCAUUUCUGAAAAUAGCAUAAAAGCUUUUCUGUCCCCAGAUUCUCUGCUCUACACUGUAGUAUGGGGACCCUCUCAGUCUGAGGCAGAUUAAUGUGCACCUUUUGAGAUGCUGUAUUACUUCUGCUGAUUGACUGAGUGCAAAUUUUACUGAAAUACAAAUCUCCGAUUUAAUCUAAUAAAUUUGGAGCUCAUGUCCAGCUAAAUAAACAGA
Taeniopygia guttata (zebra finch) is the source of this 1067-nucleotide non-coding RNA. The record is from RefSeq and is a predicted model, not a curated record. NCBI's taxonomy places the organism in Eukaryota, Metazoa, Chordata, Aves, Passeriformes, Estrildidae.